RNAcentral lists this long non-coding RNA (1117 nucleotides) under Triticum aestivum (bread wheat). Its description in RNAcentral is "long non-coding RNA (TAES_LNC000488)". Lineage: Eukaryota; Viridiplantae; Streptophyta; Magnoliopsida; Poales; Poaceae. The record is from RNAcentral.
AUGGUAAUUCAUUAGCUUGCAUUCUUCUUCAGGUUCAAAAGAUGAAAAUGAAAAACAAAAGCUGCAGUAAAAAAUGAUCUGUGUGAACCAUUCAGGACUGCUCCAUGUGCAGGCAUGAGUUUUAUCAAGGCCGGUGAAGCAUUUGUGCUUCAAGCUACCUCUGACUCCUUCGUUCACUGUUCAGUGGCUAGGCCAUCAAUAAUCCCAAGUCCAUUGCCAAGUCUAAAAGGCAGGUCUUAUGAAUCCAACAACCAGCGGCGGCAAAAACCUUUGAGAUAUUGCUUUAUCCAUUCGUCAAUCUGCAGUAGUGUAUCUACUUUCUUGGAAAUGGCAAACAUAUAUUGAUCGAUGAUAGAUUAUGGUGAAUUGUACUUACCUGCGCUUAUCUUUUGGUCUGAACAGAGCUUGGCGAUCCAUAGGGUGCUGGUCUCCGUGGGUGGACAUUCGAUGACCAAUGAAAAAACAGAGGCAACCAAUUCAGCGAGGCCGCCCACCUAGCAAAACGCACCAAAGAACUAAUCUUUCUUAACCAGAGAAGAAGAAGGCGAGACCCAAUCUCAGCCAUCGUCCGUCCUUACCUGCCUAUGUCCGGCGGGCCAGCGGGGGGCCGGACCUGAGGCGACAUGGCCCUCCCGGGGGAGAAGCGGGCGUCGGCGCUGUGCAGGCCGUCCAUGGCGAUGGCGAUGCCCGGGCACCAAUCGUGAGGGAAGGAGCCAAGCGAAUGAGAGGAAGAUGAGAAAGGGCUCGAUACAGAGGAACCAGGAGCCAAGUGAAUGAGAGGAAGAUGAGAAGGGCUCGAUCCGGAGGAACCAGCCCACACCGAGCCCCGCCGCCUCAACAGGAGCUCGGCUCCCUGCCUGCCGGUGGCUCACCAAAGCCACCACCGCCGGCGACCGCCUCCCUCACCUUGUGCCCCUUCUCCUUCUCCUUUCUUCCUCUCUUCCCCGAGGAGCGGGGAGACGGUGAAUCCGUCGGUCAGGAGCUGGGCAGCGCUUCCAUCAUCGCCACCGUUUGGGGAGGGACGCGGUGUGGGGCGGGCGACGUGGGGCAGGAGGUGGCGGCGGGAUGGAGGUGGAGAUGGGAUUGAGGAAGCAGGGUUGUGCGGGGCACUGUUUUU